UGGUUGUCAGGCAGUGACUUGAAAAAGUUGGCCCUCUUUGGUUGUCCCUCGCUUACAAAAAAGAAUGUUUUCUCUGCUAAAAGAUUGCGCAAUUAUUUUGAAAUUAAAGAGGACACUGUAUGUGGUAAAUGUGUCUUGAAAGAUUCAUGUAAGUUCGUGAAUCAGAGUGUAUGGAAAGGUGAUUACAAGACUUUGAAUUUAGCUGUUGUAAUGCGGGUCAUCACUUUAUAUGCUUUGGAGGAAGUGCAUCCAGAGUUGCCAGUGCCAGAUGAGAUAAAGGCCUCUGUCAGCCGGUUGCUAAACGAAGUCGUAAAGUUGAGUGAAACUAUAUCAUGAGGCUACACGCAUAGACCCAGGUGUGACUGCUUUCAACUAAUCAUCAUUGUAAUUUCUCUUAUGAUGGCUACACAUUUGAUUUUGCUGCAAUCAUUUUUCCACCAUCAUUAUGUGUAUAAAUUAUUAAGCUAUUUUGGACUCGUUAAGCAUAUUUACAA
This 494-nucleotide unclassified non-coding RNA is filed under the name Hevea brasiliensis (rubber tree). The record is from RNAcentral. Lineage: Eukaryota; Viridiplantae; Streptophyta; Magnoliopsida; Malpighiales; Euphorbiaceae.